Molecule: transfer RNA, 77 nt
Filed under: Candidatus Nomurabacteria bacterium
Lineage: Bacteria; Candidatus Nomuraibacteriota
Description: tRNA-Ala
Rfam family: tRNA
About the family: Transfer RNA (tRNA) molecules are approximately 80 nucleotides in length.
Source: RNAcentral
GGGGCAUUAGCUCAGUUGGCUAGAGCGCUUGGUUCGCAAUCAAGAGGUCCGGGGUUCGAGUCCCCGAUGCUCCACCA